RNAcentral lists this long non-coding RNA (391 nucleotides) under Mytilus galloprovincialis (Mediterranean mussel). Lineage: Eukaryota; Metazoa; Mollusca; Bivalvia; Mytilida; Mytilidae. The record is from RNAcentral.
AUUUAAAACUUAACAUAAAUUUAUAAAAGAUUUUCAUUAAAACAAAUAAGUUAAAACAAAGUUUACUAUUUAGAUCAAUUGAUCACAUAUCACACUUAAAUAUAGAUAGCUGUUUGGAAUAAAUAAUUGAAACAUCAUUGUAUUUUAUUCACCAGCGUCAGGCCUCGAAAGAACAAGUGUCCGAGAUGAUGGACACGACAGAAGAAGGCAUAACAUAGAACUGAACAUGAGCGAGCUAGUAUUCCUCAGAUCACGUCCCAGGCCUCAUUUAGAUUCCUAAUCCCAGAAUACAAUAUAAGCGAGAAAAGUCUAUAAUGAAAGAUGCCAGUUCCUUAAUAUUCAAGUUUAUUAACGUUUUGGAGGGAAAGGGGAGACAACCUGACAGAGCAGC